GCUUGUCUCAAAGAUUAAGCCAUGCACGUGUCAGUAUAAGCUUUUAUACGGUGAAACUGCGAAUGGCUCAUUAAAUCAGUUAUAGUUUAUUUGAUGGUUUUAUACUUGGAUAACCCGAGUAAUUCUCUGGCUAACAAAUGCGGAAGACCCUUUACUGGGUUGUAUUUAUUAGAUCUUUACUAACUUUGUUGGUGAGUCAUGAUAAGAUAACAGAUCGCAUCGGGGUAACCCGGCGACGGAUCAUUCAAGUUUCUGCCCUAUCAACUUUCGAUGGUACGGUAUUGGCCUACCAUGGUGACCACGGGUAACGGGGGAUUAGGGUUCGAUUCCGGAGAGGGAGCCUGAGAAAUGGCUACCACUUCUAAGGAAGGCAGCAGG
RNAcentral lists this ribosomal RNA (378 nucleotides) under Sphaeroeca volvox. RNAcentral's name for it is "partial small subunit ribosomal RNA". It matches the Rfam family "Eukaryotic small subunit ribosomal RNA", at positions 30 to 432 of the family's 1831-position model. Lineage: Eukaryota; Choanoflagellata; Craspedida; Salpingoecidae. The record is from RNAcentral.